AAGGGAGACCUAAUUCGGGUAUAAGACGAAAAAAGAGUAGUCGAAACCAAGAAUCAAUCCCAAAAGGUCGGAACGAGGUAUGUGGCUUUCAAACUAGGUUCUGGGUUCACACAAGACCUAAAUCAGGAACAAGGGCUAUUAGCUCAGGUGGUUAGAGCGCACCCCUGAUAAGGGUGAGGUCCCUGGUUCGAGUCCAGGAUGGCCCACCUGCACAGGUGGCAAAAACAAAGAAGCGAGGAAUCAGCACCUUAUCUUAUCUAUAUAUAAGAGAGAAUGCUGGCUCUGAGUAAAGAGUCCAGAGGAACCUCGAAAACUGCAUAGAGCUAGGUGAAAAAGCCAAAAAAGAAGACCGCAA
Molecule: transfer RNA, 355 nt
Filed under: uncultured Microcystis sp.
Lineage: Bacteria; Bacillati; Cyanobacteriota; Cyanophyceae; Chroococcales; Microcystaceae
Description: partial 16S-23S ribosomal RNA intergenic spacer
Rfam family: tRNA (bases 133-206)
Source: RNAcentral